UCCCUGUGUGAAGUUUGCAUGUUCUCCCUCGGGCCUGCGUGGGUUUUCUCCGGGUGCUCCGGUUUCCUCCCACAUUCCAAAAAUAUGCAUGGCAGGCUAAUUGGACACUCCAAAUUGUCCCUAGGUGCGAGUGCGAGUGCGAGCACGGAUGGUUGUUCAUUUCUGUGUGCCCUGCGAUUGGCUGGGAACUGGUUCAGGGUUUCCCCGGCCUACUGCCCGAAGACAGCUGGGAUAGGCUCCAGCACCCCCCGUGACCCUACUGGGGAUAGAGCGGUUUGGAAAACGGAUGGAUGGAUGGAUGGUUCCUUUAUCUAUUUUUAUUUAUUUAUUUGUUUUACUACUGUGCACAAUACACGAAUGAAAUUCAGAAGAAAAACAUGCCUUUUGGGGCGGGGGAGGGGGGGUGACAAGAACAGAAGAAUAGCAUUUCCAUCCAUUUCAAUGGGGAAAAUUGACUUGAAAGACAAGAAAAGUCAUGGAAAGAAACAAAAAAUGCCGUUGGUCAAAAAUGUUACAUUGUAACAUCAAAAAAUGUUACAUUCCAUUACAUACAACCCUUACAUUGUUACUUUUCCCAAAAUCGCAACUAGCUCCUGAAACGUCUCCGGGCGACCAGCACAAAAGCGGCGGAACCAAUUGUGUUUCCCCCUUCAUCGUGAACGCUUGCCUACUUUGCAGCUGAGCCCCGGCAGGAAAUACCGAUGGCGAAAAGGAGAUGGGGAGCAAGGAUAGGGACGGUCUUCUCACUGCGCAACUGCCUCCGUUCUCUAAACAGGACGUUCACACCCUCAGCCAGGGCUGGACCCGCACGGCGAGCCAAUGCCUGGUGGGCCAUCGUCUUUAGGGGGCUGUUGUGUUGCCAUUGAAUUAUUAGAUUAAGUUCAAAAAAUUAAUAAUAAACACGUGGCUUCAACCAUCGAAAUUAAAUAAGUGUCUGACAUUGGGAAAACAGAGAAGUGGCUGGAAAUGGCUGAACUGAGAGACUGCACGGAGAUGCUGGCGAGCAAGCUUUAUAAUGAGCGUCAUGACCAGGUAGCAGGAAUAGUACACUGGAACAUCUGUAACAAAUAAGGAGUAUCCCCACAAUUAAGAUGGCGGACACUGCCGAAAGGUGGUUGGGAACAACCGGGCCACUUCCAGAUCCAGACUGACGAACUGGUGAUGACCAACCAGCCUGAGGCAGUGGUGGUGGAUAAACAUCAAAAGACGGCAGUCGUGAAAGAUGUCGCAAUCCCGAAUGAUUGCAACAUCUGGAAGGAGGAACCAAUAAAGUGGAGAAAGACUUUGCGUAGAAUCCUCUUCAAGCUCCCAGGCCUCUGGAUGAAGACCCGGAUUUGAAGGAGAUACUGCUCAAGUGGCGCAACGGGUUGAUUCUAAUGAUUCUAAAACAACAUUACUACUCAUCCAAUUGAAACCUUGUCGAACCCGAUCCAAGGUGACACCCGAGAAGAGGCGGCGAUGACUCUUUACUCGACUAAUCAACCGUUCAAAGGGCCAAAGCACUGGUCCAUGAUGAUGUAGUGCUGAGCCGAGUGUGACGCAAGUGAGGCGCUAAGGAUGCUGACCUGGUGAUAGAAGUGCAUGUCGGACGGCGCUCGGCAGACUCCCGAAGGCCUCGAUGCGAGCGGCUCGGGUCCAUCCAGCGGGAACGUCUUUCGGGUGUGACGUCCCGUGCUUCUGUUCAUCAACGGGAGAAUGGAAGCGCCCGUGUUGCUGCUGCUGUUUGUUCUUCUCAUUUCAUUUUUCCCCCUCUUGUUGCUUUCCAUCACAUGAUUUGAGCCCCUCCUAUGUCCAGUUUACAGGGUCACUUUCAUCUGUGGCAGGAUCCGCUGCACAUCACUUCAAGUGGCUUCUAUCCUCCUCUCCUUUCCUGGAAAAAAAAAUCAAGCAGCACACACACACACACACACACAGACAUGCCGCAUGCCACCCAGCCAGGGGUUGUCAGCCCUUCCUGUGUGUAUGUGCGUUGUAGAUAGCAUGGCGUGCUCUGUGCUGUCAGAAACAGGAAGUGGGAAGCUUGCUCGCUUGGCCCUGAUGAGCCAUCUCCUGUGUGUAUGCACAUGAGAGACACAGGACACAAUUACCGUAGCUCAAAAGCUAUGGCAGGCCAUCAGAGAAUUAUUUCGAUCAUCUACCAGUGCAACGAAUUGUCUAUCUGCGGGUCGGCUCUAAAUAUUCAUUUGUAAGAAGAUAGAACAGUUUUAAAUAGCAGAACGACGAAGGCGCACAGGUAGAACAACGACAUGUGACUGGCGAGGCAAAACGGCAAACUAGUUGAAAACUGCAUGUCACUAAUUCUGACAUGGACAUUAAAAUAUGUUAAAAAUCUAGCGUUUCCCGGGUAAUGGUAGUAUACAGAUAUUCGUGCAUAGUUUUGCAAAGGAGUAUGGCAAAGCUUUCUGACUAAUGUGCAGAGAUUUUACACAGGAGUGGAAGGCAAAAAAAAAAAUCUUUACUAGUAAGAUUUCUAGAGUGCCCUGGUUGUUCUACUAGCAUGUUGAAUUGUCUUACUAGUGAGGACAAAAAGGAUACUAGUGUAUGUGUGUGUGGAUAUCACUGAUAUUCAGCCUAACGUUGCUGCACUAGAAUUCUUUUUGUCGACUAUAGUGGGCAAUUUUGGCACAGUAGUGGGACAACUACAGAGUACAAAUGAGGCACUGAAAUGUGCACUAUUUGGCAAGUGAGCGCAUAUUACAGUGCACUAAAACGACCCACGUGCAAGGAAAGGUUUGUCAAAGGUAAUAUGUGGCAUGACUCCUCUGUGAUUUUUUUGUUGUUGUUGUUUGUUUCUGGCAUUUCAAAAAUGUUUCGAAGAGUGGUCCGGCAUCGCUUUCCACACCGAUUGGCACAAAAAAAAUUGGCCGUUGCAAUUUGGUUCCGAUUUGAUGAAUCACAUUGCACAUGUUAAAUUUCAUUUUCGUAUAUUCCUCCCACAAUACAGAAAAUGAACUGCGCUGGAUUUUAGCGAGUUUGGCAUACACAAACAUCUGUUUAGUAAGCGGUCAAGAUCGCGCCCGGUUUUUGCACAUUGCAAACCUCAAGCAAUCAAACAAAGACGAAGAGUUUCUACGCAAGAAAAAUAAUUUAUUUAUGAUAGAAUCACUUCAUGGCACUGGCAUGUCGGAAUGUGGCGCUUUUUCCGGACAGCUACACACCAAACCACUGGAUGGGCCACGAGGGGAUUUAAUACAUAUAUGGAAUAUUCCUUUAAAUGUCUUUUUUUCCCCAUAAGGAAUAACAAAAAUAGAACUCCAAUAAGUG
Hippocampus zosterae (dwarf seahorse) is the source of this 3264-nucleotide long non-coding RNA. RefSeq lists it as uncharacterized. The record is from RefSeq and is a predicted model, not a curated record. The transcript has 3 exons. Lineage: Eukaryota; Metazoa; Chordata; Actinopteri; Syngnathiformes; Syngnathidae.